This is a non-coding RNA of Favolaschia claudopus, 109 nucleotides long. The record is from the annotation of a GenBank genome assembly. NCBI's taxonomy places the organism in Eukaryota, Fungi, Basidiomycota, Agaricomycetes, Agaricales, Mycenaceae.
GCUGACGUGGUCUAGUAGCAUGAUACCUGCUUUGGGUUUUUUCCGAGCACGGGAUGUGAUCCCAUCACGUGAGUGCAGGGGGUCCCGGGUUCAACUCCCGGCGUCGGUC